This 240-nucleotide unclassified non-coding RNA is filed under the name soil metagenome. RNAcentral's name for it is "partial contains 5.8S ribosomal RNA, internal transcribed spacer 2, and large subunit ribosomal RNA". The record is from RNAcentral.
AACGGUCUAUACCUGCGGUACCUGCGGAGGGAUCAUUACAGAGUUGCAAAACUCCAAACCAUUGUGAACUUACCUUUGCCGUUGCUUCGGCGGGCGGCCCGGGUCCCGACCCGGCGCCCCCCGGCCCCGUCAGGGGCGCCCGCCGGAGGUAAACCAAACUCUUGAAUUGUAUGGCCUCUCUGAGUCUUCUGUACUGAAUAAGUCAAAACUUUCAACAACGGAUCUCUAGAUCGGAAGAGC